RNAcentral lists this ribosomal RNA (289 nucleotides) under uncultured bacterium. Its description in RNAcentral is "partial 16S ribosomal RNA". It matches the Rfam family "Bacterial small subunit ribosomal RNA", at positions 773 to 1060 of the family's 1533-position model. The record is from RNAcentral.
GUGGAUUAGAUACCCUAGUAGUCCACGCCGUAAACGAUGAGUGCUAGGUGUUGGGUCCUUUCCGGGACUCAGUGCCGCAGCUAACGCAUUAAGCACUCCGCCUGGGGAGUACGACCGCAAGGUUGAAACUCAAAGGAAUUGACGGGGGCCCGCACAAGCGGUGGAGCAUGUGGUUUAAUUCGAAGCAACGCGAAGAACCUUACCAGGUCUUGACAUCCCAGUGACCGUCCUAGAGAUAGGAUUUUUCUUCGGAACACUGGAGACAGGUGGUGCAUGGCCGUCGUCAACG